CCGAGGUGUCUUACAAGCCCGUCGAGGAAGCUGAGGCGGUAAGUCACUGAUUUCUUUAGUCGCCUACUUGGUCUAAGGAUUCAUGUGCUUUCAGCUCCAACUGGCCAUCAGCUCGG
This 116-nucleotide non-coding RNA is filed under the name Drosophila pseudoobscura. The record is from miRBase by way of RNAcentral. Lineage: Eukaryota; Metazoa; Arthropoda; Insecta; Diptera; Drosophilidae. RNAcentral also lists the same sequence under 1 other name.